UGGACUUAAACACCCCGCCCCCAGGAGCCGCUCCUUGGGCCCAGGUGAAAGGGAUUUGGGGGGAAAGCAGCCAGCCAAUGGGCAGCCACGACAGCACAGAGGGGAGAGACAAAAGGACCACCAGCCCUUCCCACUCCAGCCUUUUCUCCUGAGCUUCUGCCUUGCCGUCCUUCGCGGGGGGGGGGGGGGUCUGGAAGAUGCCGCCUUUGUUUGUUCUGAACUAAGGAUUCCUUAUGGGUUUUUUGGGGGGAUGGGGGGCACUGGGUUAGACUUUCUAUCUCUUGAGGUGUUCUAGAUUUCAGGCAAACUCAGAAAGGGUCUCAGCGUUUCCUGACCUGGGGGAGACAGAAAGAGCGGCAGUGAAAUUGCUUCGAGUCAGAAGCAAAAAGGGCGUUGGGAAUCCUGGGGCCUCGGAGCUGGGUUGGGGGGGGGGUCUGUCUGCCUGUAUGGAAGCCUCUUCAGGCUCUGGGUCCACCGUAAGCCUUGCCUUCCACCUCGGGGCUACCUUGGGGGGCUGGAGAAGGGACUUGUAAGGGGAAAGGAAGGGAGCUGUCUGCCUAAGAGCCCACUCCACUAGCAACAGCUUGUUCCGACUCUUCCUUGAAGCUUUCAAGAAUCAAGAAGCUACCCUUCUCCCUCUGAGGUCUCUUGAGAAGGUUCUAACCCACAGGUGGGACCCCCAAGCCCUGAUCUGCCCGUGGGCUCCCUGUGGGGCAUGCCAGGUAUAGUGGAGGGGGUUGGGAUGAUAAGACUUGGUCCCUGUUAGCUGGGCUGUCUAGCUAACAGGUGGUAUGCUCAGCGAACCCGCAGGCACCCUCCCACCACCACUCUUCCAACCUAUCUUCUCCCGUGAGAUGGGGCUUCCCCAGUCCCAGCCGUCCAGGGCUCUCUGCGGGCUGCUGUACGACCUUGCAAGGACGCUGGGCUGAGAGUCCGCCUUCCGCGGCGUGGAAGGAGAUGGAUGAGCAUGCUAAUUGCAACUCAAUUUCUGAUAGCUGUGAGCAGCUCUUGGCGUGGGUUAAGCUACCUGGGUCUUUUCCUUGGCAGGAGAAGAGCGUCCAGUAGGAGCUCCGCUUUCGUAGGCAUUUCUCAAUUUCCUCCAAGUUACUCUUACGACUGAAGCAAGUCAGCUCUGGCCUGGGAAACAGUGGGGCUGGGAGUGUGCUGGGAGCACGUCUGAAACCCCACUGAAUUCUGAGUCUGUGCCGUGCAGGGAGUAAGUGCCAAGGCACUGAGGUCGGGCUGCCUGAGCUGGAAUCUCAGCCCUGCUGUGUCCUGUGGACCUUGGGCAGGUUACUUAACCUCUCUGUGCUUCUGUUUUCCCAUUAUUAAACUGGGGGCAUAGUACUAGUCAUGGGGUUAUGCCUACCAAAUGGAUACACUGAUCGAAUGAUCAAAUCUUUCUACUAGAACAAGGUAGGGGUCAGAAAAAGCUGACACAAAGCUAAUUUGGGGAAAACGCUUUCUGAAGGAUUGAGGCUCCAGGGGAAAGGCCGCUGCUUCACUCCCUUCCGGGCCCGUGCAAGCGGAGAGCUCCCAGUCAUGCAGCAUCGGCAGGUUGGCCUGGGACCGUUUCCUCUGCAUCUUCCCUGAACUCUGCUCCUGGUGUGACGGGAAGGGAGGAAGGAGGGCCCCCCAUGGCUCAGUCCUCAGGAGCACUUUCUCCCCGAGAAUCCCUGUGGAUCACGUGGAGAUCAAGGCAGCUUGGGCAAAGUGGGGCCUCACUUCUCAGACCAGCCCCUUUCCUUUGGCCCUCCCCGAGAGAGACCGGCAUUCCUGCCCCGUGGGGCCGCCAUCUUGCACAGCUUUUUCUCAAGCCCCGCGUGCAGCGAAUAGCUAAGUCUGGGCACCUGGCCAUACAGCCGUACCUCUCGCCCUGUAGGUUCUCCUGCCUGACUUACAUCAAGUGUGAGGCUUACCCGAUGCUUAAGAUCCCAGCUGCUGUUCGGGAGCAUUACAUUGGCGCUACAGCGAAAGCUUCACAAGUGAAGGCCUCUAACUUUGGAAACCAAGACUGACUCGGGUGCUGAAACAGAUGUGAGGACAGAUGUGUGGCCUGGGGUCCCUUCGACCAUCACCUACAUCCUCUGAUCAAUGAUCCACAUGGGUGUGAACUGGGGGUUCACAGGACCCAUUGGGUGUCAGCCCCACUACUUGUGUUUAUCGGUGGUAGCAUAGCAAGUCACUUCACAGCUCUAGGAUGAUUCUUUCCUGAUCAGACUGCUGGUAACAACAGCUCCCACGUGAUGAGCGAUUAGUAUGUACUAAGUACUGACCUGCCUCUGAAUUAACAAGUUUAUCAUGAAGUUGAAGCUGAAACUGGGCUCUGUAGUCCAAAUUUAGUCUUGUUUGUCUUAGAAACUUAAUCUCCACAAAACCUAGAUGUGCCCCAUUGGGAUGGCAUUCUCAGUGGAUCAUUAUUACCCCAUUACUAGGGACUGUCAUCAUCCUCUUUAAAUGAGAAAUACUUUGGGGGAUGAAACCACUUGCCCAGGGUCCCAUAACCUACAACUGCAAAGUCUGAACUUAGUUUAGCCCAGCUUGUUGGAGUCAUCAGAACUAUCUCCUUGGCGUCCUUCUGAAUUCCACACAUCUGUUAAUACCUGGGUAGAUGGUAGCUGUGACUACCAACAUCUUGAUCUGAGCAUUCAUCAUGCCUCGACCAUCUUCAUACGUGAAACAAGGAGUGAUUUCUCAUGAGUCACUCAUUGUGCCCCAAGAGAUUCUGCUGUGGGAAUCGGGCUGUUUCUCCUACACACCCCUGCCUACUCAGUUACCCCCUUCUCCUCCCAACCCCAGUGCCCCCUCUUCCUCCCCUAAGGAACCUUUGACUUCAGUCCAACGUCUUGUUUCACCCAGUUCCCAUGGCUGUGACCUUGUGCCCAACACCUUAUAACUAGUACAACUCCAGAAUGUUGGGUUCCCAUCAACUAAUGGCUUUGAUUGCCCUCCGUGGCCUUAUGUAAACAGCCAGAUGUAUCAGGUGGGCCAGCUUUGUGACACUGUCACAGCCCUGAAGGCUUUUGCCUAUCGCUGUGUGGCAAUUGGGGGCUCUGGGGAGAGAAUCUCAGUCAUGGAUGAAGGAAACUUGUAGGAAGUUGGAGCGUGGGUGGCUUAGUAAUCAGAACUUGCAUUGGCAUCAUGGUGGUCGUCCAGGAGAGACUGAAUACUUCCUUGAAGUCCCUACUAGACCCAAGAUUGGGCUAGAGGGACAGUGGACCUGUCCUAGGGGCUGAUUUCUAAACCCAACUGUUCUUGCUCUAACUUAGGUCUUAAAAGUGCUUUGAUCUAAGCAAGUCUCAGAGAUCCAAGCCAAUAAAAAAUGCAUCUAGGGGCUUCUAUCAGGAAAAGUGUCUGCUCUGACACAUGCUGUCUGCCUAGGUUGUAGUUUCUUUUGAAAGACUCCAGAAGGAUCCAUCCCUCGGCUAUAAGGCUGUCACAUGCCUGAGGCUUUCUAGUCCUCCUGGGAUAAAGCACUGAAAACAAGCUUGGAGAACUUCAUGCCCCAGUACAGUAAUGCUCCAACCAUCUGAUAUAACUCAUGCCCUGUGCCUGAAUUCAGUAUGGCGCUCACUGGCAACUUGGGGUUCAGGAGUCAGGGAAGGCCUGUGAGAAGUGACAUCUGAGCACGUGCCUGAACUAACGGAGUCUGUACAAAAAUUGCACACACCCCAAGUGGAAGGAACAGCCAGUGUAAAUGUUCUGAGGUAGGAAUGGGUUUGAGACAGAAAGAAUGCGGCUGAAAUACAAAAUGAGCAGGUGGGGUAGUGGCAGUGGUUAGAUGGGGACACAGAUCGACAGGAGCUAGAUUCUGUGGGACCUUGUUAAUGAUGAAAUGGAGAUUUAUCCCAAGGAGGAUGCGAAGGCAUCAGCAAUCGAAGCUUGUGAGUGUUUGUGUUAAUCACUGGCAGCUGUCUGAAACGGAUUACCAGCAGCAAGAAGUAGGGGUUAUCAGUUAGGAAGAUUCCGGUUAUCCAGCUGUUCCUGCGAAACAGUCCCUGGAAACUUCAAGUCUCUCUCAUAGUUAAAGAUGAGUGCUGGAAGGGACCUUGGACCGCUUAGCCAGACUGCCCCUUUGUAUAGAUGAGGAACGCAGGCCUAUCUGUGGAAAAACUUGUUUCAGGUCUGAGCUAAGCUUGCAGCCCAGAUCCUGACUUGGCUUAGCACUGGCUGCUCUGCUCUUCAGGUCCUCCCUACUCCCUCCCCUUUGUUGAAUCUGCUCUCGACCUAUUGCCUGCAAGGAGGGCCCUGAUGAAACAUCUGCAUCAAUUGAUUCAUUGAUGCCUUGAGUAACUCUGCUCCCAUUGGAGAUAAAUAAUGCAUGCCCCGACGCGGAGUUCUGGCAUGGCAUUGACUGAGAACCAGGGGGAGGAUGGGGCAACUGUCAGCACAAUGUGAAGUGUGGUCUAGGAAUUGACUCUCCAGUAGACGGACAGAAGCACGUGCACCUGGGUUUCAGCAAAGGCAACAUGCGGGACCAGUCAAGACGAAUCCAACUUUCUUUGUGAGCCUCAACUUCCGGCCCUUCAUCUGAGUCUUGCUCUAGCAUCUCACUGUGGAUGUCGAUAAAGUGGCACCUUCCUUCAUCUCCUUUCAGAACUUAUUGAGCACAUGUCAUAUGCUGGUUGCUGGCAAAGAGUCUGGCCUGAUCUAAUUGGGAUAAGGCAUGCUUAGAUGGAUAAACAGAUUUCAGGCAACAAUGGAUCUCCUCUUUGGGGAGACCUUUCUAUAUAGUCUACUGUGGGAUCUCUCAUUACACUUUCUCUUAAGUCCCAGGAAGUCAUAAGUUUGGAAACUUCUAAGCAGAAGGGCCUGUGCACAGACCUGGGGGCCAGAGAGCCAAGCCUGAUGCAAGGGAUGGCACAUGACAUGAGCUGGAGAGGAGGGCAGGGGGUCGGACAGCUCCCCUUCCUGAAUCACACUGGAAUAGACUUGAGGGUGGAUUACGCGUUGUGGUUUUGUCUUUCCAAGUGGGCUGAGGGCUGGAAGGUGGCCCCUUGGGUUUAUUCUUCCCAGCAGUUAGCACAGGAACACACUGGAAGCAAGGAGGGCAGGCCUAAAAUCCUGGUGUUUCUGGGGUGGAGGGGAGAGAAACUCAGAGGUAGUUGAAUCUUCAGGUGAGGCAAGAGCAUGCAUCAGCUUCACUGUGGGAUGGAAGGAAUGCUCCUGGUUAACAUGAACUCCUGAGGUCAAGUGCAUUCACUGUACUAGUUUGGGUUAAACGUCUGCAUUAGACAUCUUUAGCAGGCUCAGCUGGACUUAGAGUUUUUAGGCUAAUGUUAGCCCUAGAAUAUCAAUCAGGAGGCCUUGGCUUGCUGGAGACUUCUACGCAGGUGGUUUUGGCUGGCCUUUUCUCGAAGGUAUUUCUUGCCCUAAUGUUGGGCUUGCGAGGUCUACUUGUCUUGCCUGCUCACAAGAGGAACUUCCAAGUCUAAGAGGCAGCAAGGAUGAGAUGUAAGGUGAAGCUUAACACAUCAGAUGAAUUCGUCUGAAGGUCUUUCCCCAUCCUCAGAUCACACUGUUUCCUAAAAGCAAACCAGCCUAAAGGUCCUGACGUAUAGUAGGUACUCAAACAUAGAUCCCCAAAUAUUGGGUGGUUAUUCUGGGUUGCCCUAUGAAACAGUCCUCUUCUCAGGAGACCAGACUUAGACAGAGGCUCAGAUUUGUGUUUAAUGGAACUAGCAUGGGGUGGGGUGAGUAUGGCUCCGACUGGGGAGAUGUCAACUAUAAAUGUUUCUCCCGAGAGGCCCACCACACAGUCCGAGUGACUUAGGUCUCAAUUAACAGACGGGUGACGAGAGAAAUGGAUAUUAUGCUCCGAUGUUGGCUAACUGAGCCACCCUAACCUCAGCUGAGUGAACUGACCCACCUCCAGCUCUGGCCUAGUGAGCCUCGUCAAGCAUUAUCUGAAGCCCCGGGGGGCUUGACUGUCUCCAGUAGAGAAUGGUGGAGACUGAGGCGUAGAUACCAUCCCCAGGGCCUUACUUGAAAGGGGACGCCCCAAAUCCCCGCAGCCACCUGUGUGGUUCUCUUGUUAGGCUUGUGUGUCUGUGCUGCUCUACAGCCCUUAUGACAACUGUGGCUGCACAUGGAGCCUGUACCCGUGCUCUAUUGCUGGGUAGCACAAAUCUGGCAGCUUAAAAUAGACUUAGUAGCUUAUAGUUCCGCAGGUACUGACCAGGCACAGCGUGGCUGGGUUCUCUGCUCAGAUACCCUAAGGGUGAAGUCAAAGUACCUACUGGGCUGUGUUCUCAUGUGGAGUCAAGGGCGACUCAGCCUCCAGGCUCAUUCUUGUUAGUCGGUUCCUUGCAGCAUAAGGCUGUCGUCUCCAUGCUGGCUGUCAGCUGGCGGCCACUCAGCUCCGAGAGGCCUCUUGCAUCCCUUGCCGUGUGGCCCCCUCCAUCUGCAAGCUGGCGAUAGUGUUGUGAAUCUUUCUUGUGCUUUGAGUUUCUGACUGCUUUUGACUUCUAGACUCAAACCUGACGGGCUCAAGUAGGGUGAGGCCCACCCAGGAUAAUCGUCCUCUUGCCACAUAAUGUAACAAUCCCAGGAGUGAGAUCUCAGCACGUGUUCCACCCACACUCAAGGGGCAUGAGCAUAUGGGGGGAAUCUUGGGGGCCGUCUUGGGGGACAGCCUAUCACCCCUGUGGCUUCUGAUCCUUUGCUAGACUCGAGGACAGGAAUCUUAUCUCCCUCACUGUACUCGGCACCUAUGACAGACUAGAGCAUAGAUGUCGGAGCUCCUGGGACCUGAGUCUUGAAUACUCAGGAACUAAGAACCUUCUGUGGGAUUUAAUCGUGUCUUUCCGCAGAUGCAGCCUUCAAGCCAAGACAGGAAAGGAACACUAACGACACAUCCCAACUUGAUCUUAUUUAAAAACUGUAUCCUCCCGGCUUGCUAUGACAUCCAAAGCACUUGUAGAAGUCCCACUUAGGAAACGGGCACUGCUAUUACUGUCAUUAUCCCCAACCGGAACUACGAGCAAUGAUGGACCCAACCUCUUACACGUGUCCACUUGCAGAAUGUGGGCCUGAGAGCAAUUCAACUUAAACGCGCUUGUGAGGGAGUGAGCAAAGGGUUUUCCUUUAGUACUUUUCUUGUGACAAUCCCUAUGUUGGGUGGGUGCUGCCCCCUUUGGGUCAGAGGGAGUAGUCGUGCUAGCCUUGUGUUCACUGGCAUAGUCAAGUGUCAGGAAAGCCAGCAGCCAAGACCUUACUUCCUUCUAUCCUCAUCAGGACUCACUCCCAGGUGGUUACUGCCCUUCAAAAAAAAAAAAAAAAAAACUGCUAGGUGCUGCCCACUCUUUCCCCUUCACGUUCUUGGAGGAUUAGUUUGGAGGCUGGGGCAGUGUGAUGUCAAAGGCGGGGAAAUCAACCCUAAUUCCGUCCUGAGCCCUACUUUUCCUCUGUAAGAUGGAGUGAAACCAUCUGCACACAGUGCACCUGCCGCCAUUCCUCCCUGGACCGUUGCUAAUGCACCACAGCACUUGGUCCACAGUGAGCUUCUGCACGGAUGUGGACGUCUUCUCAACACAGCAGUCGAGGGCAGCUCCAAGCAGAACUGCAGACUAGUAUUCGGCAUUUCCUAAGAAGGCAAGAGUAUGGCUUGGAACGAGUCUCGGUCCUCAGUUCUCUACCCAGGCGGCAUUCCCUGGCGUAGGGGCUCCACUGGGUCAGCCCGGGGCUGCA
Molecule: long non-coding RNA, 7689 nt
Filed under: Equus caballus (horse)
Lineage: Eukaryota; Metazoa; Chordata; Mammalia; Perissodactyla; Equidae
Description: lncRNA (ENSECAG00000055091.1)
Source: RNAcentral